RNAcentral lists this unclassified non-coding RNA (890 nucleotides) under Venturia canescens. Its description in RNAcentral is "biogenesis of lysosome-related organelles complex 1 subunit 4, transcript variant X1". Lineage: Eukaryota; Metazoa; Arthropoda; Insecta; Hymenoptera; Ichneumonidae. The record is from RNAcentral.
UACAAUCAUAUGUUCUGUAUUUAUUGCAUGUGACGUUUCGUUUCGUGCGACUCCACUCAAACAAAUUCGUUCCUAAAAUUGAUCGGUUUGUGAUAAAAAAUAGUGAGCACUUAUCGUUAAAAUGAUCGAGGAACUCGCUAAAGAUUAUGGAUCAUAUGUAAAAACAGAUAUAACGGAUCAAAUGAAAAAUGUUCACGAAACCAUAGAAGAUAUGAUGGCUCGUUUAGAGGAGUUUGAGUCAAUCAUUGGUAUGGUUCAGACUGUCGGAGCAGAAUGUACUAGCGAACAUCGACCUCGUUUGCAAUCAGUUCGUCCAGAAUUGUCGAGUUUGUGCAAACGUAUAGACGCCCUUGAGCACAUAGUUGCGAGAGCGAACGUGGAUUUGACAGCUCUUGAAACGGCGGUCGAAACGGCCGAGGCUGAACUCGGGGGAGUUGGAGUUUCGGAUCGUAUUCUCGGAAUGCUGAAUCCAAUUUCACAUCUUUUCAAAAGUAAAAACACGGAAUCUCCAACUGUAAGGCCACUGACGAAUUUCGAGCCACCUCCAAUUUAUCAUACCGAAGACUUUUUUACGAACACUUAAAAUAUUUAUAACUUAAACAAUUCAUUACUGAUAAAAAGUGUAAUCAAUUACGACUUAAUAGUCAUCUUCAAAAAAAUAUCAUCGAUUAGAAUUUAUGUACAGAAAAGAUACUGAAAUGUAGGACAAAAUAAUUUUGGGGAGUAACGCUGAGGAGAUUCCUGUCUUCGAAGAUUCGGUGAUUCUCUAUCUUCGAGCGACCUUUUCCCAAAUUUUGGACCAAGCCAGUUUUCUCUUCGCUCACGACGUCGACGGUACCGUCCCAGGUUUCUCCAGGAGCGUGGAGAAAAUUUCUUGUGUCGUCUACGGU